UACGAACCGUCCAAACGUUAUUCGGAAUUACUGGGCUUAAAGGGUUUGUAGGCGGCCUUGUAAGUGGGGUGUGAAAUCCCUCGGCUCAACCGAGGAAUAGCGCUCCAAACUACAUGGCUUGAGGGAGACAGGGGUAAGCGGAACUGAUGGUGGAGCGGUGAAAUGCGUUGAUAUCAUCAGGAACACCGGUGGCGAAAGCGGCUUACUGGGUCUCUUCUGACGCUGAGAAACGAAAGCUAGGGUAGCGAACGGG
This 253-nucleotide ribosomal RNA is filed under the name uncultured bacterium. RNAcentral's name for it is "partial 16S ribosomal RNA". It matches the Rfam family "Bacterial small subunit ribosomal RNA", at positions 524 to 776 of the family's 1533-position model. The record is from RNAcentral.